Molecule: ribosomal RNA, 455 nt
Filed under: Arthrobacter sp. RHF79
Lineage: Bacteria; Bacillati; Actinomycetota; Actinomycetes; Micrococcales; Micrococcaceae
Description: bacterial SSU rRNA
Rfam family: Bacterial small subunit ribosomal RNA
Source: RNAcentral
AGAGUUUGAUCCUGGCUCAGGAUGAACGCUGGCGGCGUGCUUAACACAUGCAAGUCGAACGAUGAUGCCCACUUGUGGGUGGAUUAGUGGCGAACGGGUGAGUAACACGUGAGUAACCUGCCCUUAACUCUGGGAUAAGCCUGGGAAACUGGGUCUAAUACCGGAUAUGACUCCUCAUCGCAUGGUGGGGGGUGGAAAGCUUUUUGUGGUUUUGGAUGGACUCGCGGCCUAUCAGCUUGUUGGUGAGGUAAUGGCUCACCAAGGCGACGACGGGUAGCCGGCCUGAGAGGGUGACCGGCCACCCUGGGACUGAGACACGGCCCAGACUCCUACGGGAGGCAGCAGUGGGGAAUAUUGCACAAUGGGCGCAAGCCUGAUGCAGCGACGCCGCGUGAGGGAUGACGGCCUUCGGGUUGUAAACCUCUUUCAGUAGGGAAGAAGCGAAAGUGACGGUA